This 609-nucleotide ribosomal RNA is filed under the name Streptomyces sioyaensis. RNAcentral describes it as "bacterial SSU rRNA". It matches the Rfam family "Bacterial small subunit ribosomal RNA", at positions 224 to 843 of the family's 1533-position model. Lineage: Bacteria; Bacillati; Actinomycetota; Actinomycetes; Kitasatosporales; Streptomycetaceae. The record is from RNAcentral.
GGAUAGCCCACGGCCUAUCAGCUUGUUGGUGGGGUGAUGGCCUACCAAGGCGACGACGGGUAGCCGGCCUGAGAGGGCGACCGGCCACACUGGGACUGAGACACGGCCCAGACUCCUACGGGAGGCAGCAGUGGGGAAUAUUGCACAAUGGGCGAAAGCCUGAUGCAGCGACGCCGCGUGAGGGAUGACGGCCUUCGGGUUGUAAACCUCUUUCAGCAGGGAAGAAGCGAGAGUGACGGUACCUGCAGAAGAAGCGCCGGCUAACUACGUGCCAGCAGCCGCGGUAAUACGUAGGGCGCAAGCGUUGUCCGGAAUUAUUGGGCGUAAAGAGCUCGUAGGCGGCUUGUCGCGUCGGAUGUGAAAGCCCGGGGCUUAACCCCGGGUCUGCAUUCGAUACGGGCAGGCUAGAGUUCGGUAGGGGAGAUCGGAAUUCCUGGUGUAGCGGUGAAAUGCGCAGAUAUCAGGAGGAACACCGGUGGCGAAGGCGGAUCUCUGGGCCGAUACUGACGCUGAGGAGCGAAAGCGUGGGGAGCGAACAGGAUUAGAUACCCUGGUAGUCCACGCCGUAAACGUUGGGAAUUAGGUGUGGGCGACAUUCCACGUCGUCCG